CCUAGGUUGUCAGAUUCUUCAUCAAUCUCAGAAAAGAUAAUAAAAAAGAAGACAUCAAGUUCAUGUUUGGGUAUAGGGAGAGCAAGUAACUUUCAGGGAAAAAAAAAAUUAUACCAGUACAUCAGGGCAGGGCUCAAGACCUUACAGUGGAAGAGUUAUGCUCUCCAUAAACAAUAUGACCUCCCAGGAGAGAAGAAAGAAUAGCGAUGAGGACUGAAGACAUCAAUUCUUCAAAUAGAUACUUCAUGUCUGUAGAACGCAGGUCUCCUAUUUCCUAGUUUGUGUUUCUUCCAAUAAACUCCUUGAAAGCUCA
Molecule: non-coding RNA, 313 nt
Filed under: Pan troglodytes (chimpanzee)
Lineage: Eukaryota; Metazoa; Chordata; Mammalia; Primates; Hominidae
Source: RNAcentral